Pogona vitticeps (central bearded dragon) is the source of this 240-nucleotide non-coding RNA. The record is from RefSeq and is a predicted model, not a curated record. NCBI's taxonomy places the organism in Eukaryota, Metazoa, Chordata, Lepidosauria, Squamata, Agamidae.
AAAAUGGAUUUUCAUGAAUGGGUGAAGUUGAUCCCAUUAAUGUCCUGGCUGAUCCCAACUGCAGACUUUAGAUGAUGAAUUAUACUGGCCCACUGAAUUCAGUCUCUCUCCACUCCUGAUCUCCGACCAUGCAGCCAGCAUGGAGGGUCUGUUUCCCACAUGGUUGAGAUUGAUCUCUCCUCAUUUUUUCUUUUUAUCCCUCUGACUAUAACUACGUAUAGACUGCAACUGUAAGUAAAU